GGGGAUAUAGCUCAGUUGGUAGAGUGCUUGACUCAUGCACAAGGCCCUGGGUUCAAUCCCCAGCACCA
Molecule: transfer RNA, 68 nt
Filed under: Marmota marmota marmota (Alpine marmot)
Lineage: Eukaryota; Metazoa; Chordata; Mammalia; Rodentia; Sciuridae
Also listed under: 3 other names
Rfam family: tRNA
About the family: Transfer RNA (tRNA) molecules are approximately 80 nucleotides in length.
Source: Rfam by way of RNAcentral